GACGAACCGUGCGAACGUUAUUCGGAAUCACUGGGCUUAAAGGGUGCGUAGGCGGGCACGCGAGUCAGGGGUGAAAUCCCUCAGCUUAACUGGGGAACUGCGUCUGAUACUGGUUGGCUUGAGUGCAGGAGAGGAAUGCGGAAUUCCAGGUGUAGCGGUGAAAUGCGUAGAUAUCUGGAGGAACACCGGUGGCGAAGGCGGCAUUCUGGACUGCAACUGACACUGAAAGACGAAAGCCAGGGGAGCAAACGGG
RNAcentral lists this ribosomal RNA (253 nucleotides) under uncultured bacterium. Its description in RNAcentral is "partial 16S ribosomal RNA". It matches the Rfam family "Bacterial small subunit ribosomal RNA", at positions 524 to 776 of the family's 1533-position model. The record is from RNAcentral.